UACGGAGGGGGCUAGCGUUGUUCGGAAUUACUGGGCGUAAAGCGCGCGUAGGCGGACCUGCAAGUCGGGGGUGAAAGCCCGAGGCUCAACCUCGGAACUGCCUUCGAUACUGCGGGUCUCGAGUCCGGGAGAGGUGAGUGGAAUUCCUAGUGUAGAGGUGAAAUUCGUAGAUAUCUGGAGGAACACCGGUGGCGAAGGCGGCCUUCUGGACAGUGACUGACGCUGAGACGCGAAAGCGUGGGGAGCAAACAGG
Molecule: ribosomal RNA, 253 nt
Filed under: uncultured bacterium
Lineage: Bacteria
Description: partial 16S ribosomal RNA
Rfam family: Bacterial small subunit ribosomal RNA
Source: RNAcentral